This 463-nucleotide ribosomal RNA is filed under the name uncultured bacterium. RNAcentral describes it as "bacterial SSU rRNA". It matches the Rfam family "Bacterial small subunit ribosomal RNA", at positions 29 to 507 of the family's 1533-position model. The record is from RNAcentral.
GUUAACGCUGGCGGCGUGCCUAACACAUGCAAGUCGAACGGUUCUAAGCGCGAACUUAGGAUAGUGGCGAACGGGUGAGUAAAAGGUAGGAAUCUACCCCUUGGACGGAGAUAGCUACUGGAAACGGUAGGUAAACUUCGAUAAGCCCGAGAGGGGAAAGUGGUGAGACAGCCGAGGGAUGAGCCUACUCUCCAUCAGGUAGUUGGUGAGAUAAAAGCUUACCAAGCCGAUGACGGAUAACCGGUGUGAGAGCAUGAACGGUCACAAGGGCACUGAGAGACGGGCCCUACUCCUACGGGAGGCAGCAGUGGGGAAUCUUGGACAAUGGGCGAAAGCCUGAUCCAGCGACGCCGCGUGGAGGAAGAAGUCCUUCGGGAUGUAAACUUCUGAACUAGCCGAAUAAAAGGCCUGUGGACACACAGGAGAAGAAAGUAGGCUAGGAAAAGUCCCGGCUAACUACGUG